GGAGUUGUGGUUCAGUGGUAGAGCACUUAUCUGGCAUGUGUGAGGUUCUGAGUUCUAUCCUCAGCACCA
This 69-nucleotide transfer RNA is filed under the name Ictidomys tridecemlineatus (thirteen-lined ground squirrel). RNAcentral describes it as "Spermophilus tridecemlineatus (thirteen-lined ground squirrel) tRNA". It matches the Rfam family "tRNA". Rfam says of the family: Transfer RNA (tRNA) molecules are approximately 80 nucleotides in length. Their secondary structure includes four short double-helical elements and three loops (D, anti-codon, and T loops). The record is from Rfam by way of RNAcentral. Lineage: Eukaryota; Metazoa; Chordata; Mammalia; Rodentia; Sciuridae.